RNAcentral lists this ribosomal RNA (410 nucleotides) under Verrucomicrobiota bacterium. RNAcentral's name for it is "Verrucomicrobia bacterium partial 16S ribosomal RNA". It matches the Rfam family "Bacterial small subunit ribosomal RNA", at positions 355 to 776 of the family's 1533-position model. The record is from RNAcentral. Lineage: Bacteria; Pseudomonadati; Verrucomicrobiota. RNAcentral also lists the same sequence under 1 other name.
UGGGGAAUCUUGCACAAUGGGCGAAAGCCUGAUGCAGCGACGCCGCGUGCGGGAUGAAGGCCUUCGGGUUGUAAACCGCUUUCAGCAGGGACGAGGCCGCAAGGUGACGGUACCUGCAGAAGAAGCCCCGGCUAACUACGUGCCAGCAGCCGCGGUAAUACGUAGGGGGCAAGCGUUAUCCGGAUUCAUUGGGCGUAAAGCGCGCGUAGGCGGUUUGUUAGGUCAGGAGUUAAAUCUGGGGGCUCAACCCCUAUCCGCUCCUGAUACCGGCAGGCUUGAGUCUGGUAGGGGAAGGCGGAAUUCCAAGUGUAGCGGUGAAAUGCGCAGAUAUUUGGAAGAACACCGGUGGCGAAGGCGGCCUUCUGGGCCACGACUGACGCUGAGGCGCGAAAGCUAGGGGAGCGAACAGG